GUAGCUCAGUGGUAGAGUGCUUGCCUUGCAUGCAUGAGGCACUGGGUUCGAUUCCUCAGC
Non-coding RNA from Dipodomys ordii (Ord's kangaroo rat), 60 nucleotides. NCBI's taxonomy places the organism in Eukaryota, Metazoa, Chordata, Mammalia, Rodentia, Heteromyidae. The record is from Rfam.